CAGUCGCCGCGGUAAUACGUAGGGUGCAAGCGUUAAUCGGAAUUACUGGGCGUAAAGCGUGCGCAGGCGGUUCUAUAAGACAGAUGUGAAAUCCCCGGGCUCAACCUGGGAACUGCAUUUGUGACUGUAGAGCUGGAGUGCGGCAGAGGGGGAUGGAAUUCCGCGUGUAGCAGUGAAAUGCGUAGAUAUGCGGAGGAACACCGAUGGCAAAGGCAAUCCCCUGGGCCUGCACUGACGCUCAUGCACGAAAGCGUGGGGAGCAAACAGGAUUAGAUACCCGAGUAGUCCCUGUCUCUUAUAC
RNAcentral lists this ribosomal RNA (301 nucleotides) under uncultured bacterium. Its description in RNAcentral is "partial 16S ribosomal RNA". It matches the Rfam family "Bacterial small subunit ribosomal RNA", at positions 509 to 807 of the family's 1533-position model. The record is from RNAcentral.